Tetranychus urticae (two-spotted spider mite) is the source of this 2429-nucleotide non-coding RNA. The record is from RefSeq and is a predicted model, not a curated record. Lineage: Eukaryota; Metazoa; Arthropoda; Arachnida; Trombidiformes; Tetranychidae.
AAAGGCUAUUGCUGUAGAUUUUACUAUUGCUGUUGGUAUUUUUUUAUUCUUGUGCUAUGCAUUAUUAUUUUUGACAACUAAAUAAUAUGGUUUUUUCAGUUGAUUUGAUAAAAAAAUACUCAAUUUGUGGCUCGCCAUUUAGAACCUAUUAUAGUCAAUUUAUGGAAGCUUCCUUUAACCAUUCAACCACGUUGGAUUUCAUUUUUGUGAUCGUCUGACGGUUAUGAUUCAUGAUCAAUGCAUGAAAGUUGAUGAAGUUGGUAGGAAAAACUUGGCAUUGAUUGUUGAGUUACGCAUCAACAGGCUCUUUGGUCUAACUAAUCAAUGUCAUCUGGACGCCCAACCAGACUGCCAUCAUUAUCAACAUCGUCAUCUUUCUUACCAUUAUCUUAAACAAGUCAACCUAAUUUAAUUCAUUGGAUGGUAAGGGAUCAUUAAUGGCCAGUAACAAUUGAAAAUAAUCAAGGAUAAAGAGGAAAAAAGAAACUUCAAUGUAGGACGAAAAGAGACUUUUUUUAUUCUUGCUUGAAUUUCAUGAAUAAGAAUAACCUUUUCUUCUUCUCUGCCUGGUUCGCCAUUUAAAAUCCUACUGACCCUUCCUUCAGAUACUCAAAUAACAUGAAAUUGUCAGUGAUAAUAAUAACAAACAGGUAGAAAAUGAAGAAGAAAAAAGCCAGAAAAAAAGACAAACGCGAUUCUGAUCAUUUUAUGGAUUGUCAUGUGAAAUUUCACCUGAAAGCAACAUUAUUCACAAGAUGUAGAUGUUAUUACGGUUUUAAUGAUGGCAAAAGUAAACUCUCAUAAUGUGUCCUGAUGAUUGUUGCUGCUAAAAUUGUGGUCCAACACCAAAGUCAUCAAACCAAAAGAAAAUCAUUAAAUGUUAAUCAUUAUCAUUUAACAAGCAAUUUAGCAGCCCAAGUAAAGCCCAACAACAACAUUAACAAUUUUGAAAACACCAAACAAGACUGAACCAAAGUGUACAAUCACAUUAAUGAAGAUGACUGGAAUGAUGGAUGUUAAAAAUACUGUAAACAUUAAUUCAAUUUACCCUUAAUCUGUCCAUAUUGAUCUACAUACAAUUGCUGAAAUUAAUCGCUUACAGUUGAACGGAUUUUUUGUAUAAGCAUUGAGAUGCGAAUGCUUAAUCACUAUUUUGACCAUUUUUCUGAAAAUGGAUCUUAAUUGCUCGUAAUAACAAUGAGCACUCAGUCAUGGAAAUAGUUGAUAAAUUGAUUCUUUAGUUUUUUACUCUGAUCUUUGUGCUGUUUGGACGCAAUUUCAAUGGACACAGCUUGGAAACAUUCCAGUUUGAGUUGGACGUUUACCCUACAAUGAAUGUCAUUUUAAUGACAAUUAUAUCGAUGCAAUUCUCAAUUGAAUCACCUGAAAUUUUACUAGAAAAUCAUCAGUUCUUGAGACUUUUAAGUCAACGUAAUGUUGAGUUAAUUGGUGUCACAAUCAACACUACAAUUGUCCUGACAUGGGAAAAUGAGGAUGAAACUGUCAACAAAAAUUAAUUGAAAGAAUCAGCAACAUUGUCAACUUUAUCAAGCCUUUUAUGUUCCAUUUGGCUUCUGAAUGUUCAUCUGGAUCUUCCUGAUGCCAUGCAAUUUUCUGUUUCCGAUCCAGCCUGUUAUGUUGGCCACGGAAGUUAUAACUGUUAUCGUAAUGAUUACUCUCUGGGAACCGAAACAUGUAACCUGCAAUAACUUUCACAAGUGCGUCCAAUUUUACUAUCAGUUUUGAACUAUUCCAACCUGAAGGAUCGCAAAGAUAUAAUCAAAACAACGAAAGAUGAUUUUACAAAACAUUUGGGUUACAUGAGAUACAAUAUCAAUGCAUAAAUACUUGAAUCAGCAAAACAAUAGAAUCGAUAAAUAUGGAACGGAACAAUGAAAUGAAAAAUCUUAAUGUUGAUUGGAUAUUGCAGGAGAUUGCUGAUUGACCAGAGAAUCAUUUUGAUAACCUUCAACAAUCCAACGUCCAGUCCUUGUCCUGAAUUUGGCUACAUAUUAAUUUGUUUAAUCAAUAGCAUUUCAUCUUUGAAAUUAACCCAACAACUGUUGAGAUGCCAAAAGCGACUUAAAUUGAGAAAUCAAAUAGAUGACAAUUUUAUUAGCUUUUUCAGUUACAUCUUCACAUCAUCUUUUCACAUCACCUUUUAUCUGUCUUUUUAUCAUCGCUUUUUUGCUCAUUUCAAGGUUUAGAUCAUGUUGACCUUUUCUUGAUUUAAACUUGAUCAUCUUUCCUUCAUGUCAUCAUUAUCAUCUACUCACUGAAUCAAUCAAAAAGUCAACCAAAAAAGCAAACAAUGUCAAUCAUCAAUCCCUUUUCACUUUGAUAAAGGUAAACAUUUAUACGUUUGACAAUCUAUCAAUCCAGUUAAUUAUGAUAUUGAAUUUUACAUGAAAAAAAGCCUUUCAAUUUCA